ACAUCUCAACUCAGAAGCAUUUGUUUGCUCUCUGGGCUUGGACUUGGAGGUUUUUGCUGGCGAUGGUCAGCUCCUCUCAAAUGAAUUAGCUGGGCUUAGCUCAGAGGAAUAGUCGGUGUGAUAAUUAUCUGCGCCGUUGCUUAUGACUCUGGAUCCCGCUUCCAAUGGUCUCUUCGGAGACAAUUCACUUGAAC
This 194-nucleotide unclassified non-coding RNA is filed under the name uncultured Vuilleminia. Its description in RNAcentral is "sequence contains ITS2". The record is from RNAcentral. Lineage: Eukaryota; Fungi; Basidiomycota; Agaricomycetes; Corticiales; Vuilleminiaceae.